GUGGAGGCAGAGGCUAGAUCUGGAGCUGCUAGGAAAGGCUUGCAUCACCACCUUUACAAUCUGAAGGAAGCACACACACAAAGACUGCAGGUAUCCAAUUAACGUGCUGAUAUUAGACACACACAAAUAAACAAACAGAGAUAAAAAAGUGGGGGAAAAAAUCUAAUUGAAUAUACGUAGUUGACAAUGUGCAUAUUCACUUGGGGUUUUAUAAUAUUAUGCCCUACAGUAUACUGCAAAAGUCCUUGUUCUACUCCAGAAAUCUAUAAUCAGUUUGUGAGAAAAUUAAAUUGUGUUUUUUUGGUGGUGACUGAUGGUCAUUGCUCCUCUCCUCCAGGUGGAGGUGGUGUUGGACACACAAACCCAGCUGGUUUGUGAAGGUUUCCAUGUGACUAAAGAGAUGUAAAUGAAUCAGUUGUAAGAUGUAA
Sebastes umbrosus (honeycomb rockfish) is the source of this 428-nucleotide long non-coding RNA. RefSeq lists it as uncharacterized. The transcript is spliced from 2 exons. The record is from RefSeq and is a predicted model, not a curated record. Lineage: Eukaryota; Metazoa; Chordata; Actinopteri; Perciformes; Sebastidae.